Pseudophryne corroboree (corroboree frog) is the source of this 1264-nucleotide long non-coding RNA. RefSeq lists it as uncharacterized. Lineage: Eukaryota; Metazoa; Chordata; Amphibia; Anura; Myobatrachidae. The record is from RefSeq and is a predicted model, not a curated record. The transcript is spliced from 2 exons.
UAAUACCAUGCCUCAGCCUCAGUAUCUAACUCUCCAUCACUUCAUGGCCCGUCCUGAGCCUGACAUAUAAUAUGCCUCCCAUAGGGGACAGUCUGUUUCCAGAGCGAGGUCGCCUGUGGCUCUUUAUUUCUUACAGAACUACAGUCACAUUGUGGCUGGGUUGUCAGGGCAUGCUUGGGCUUGUAGUGCUCUGUGGCUGGAUUGCCCGCAGGUUGUGGGUAUCUCUGGUUUUGUCAGUAGUUCCUUUUUUAUAUCACAUUCAUUACCUCAGCUGGAACACUGACUGGGGGGGGGGAGGUUUGAGGAAGGGGACCUCAAAUUAGUGUCUUGCCUAGGGCCCCAUGAGGUCUACAUCUACCUCCGCUGGGUGGCGCCUAUGACUAUGGGGGUAUUCUCCUGGGAUGGGCCUGUCUAGGGAUGGAACGCAGGUGGGAUGAGGCUUUUGGUGGAAUGAGCAGGGAAGGUGGUAUACACUCCCUGGAUAGUCUGCAGGGGGGCACGCUGUAUACAGAACAUGGGGCCAUUGAAGCUGCGUGGGAAGUCCGUGGUGUUCCAAAGAUCAAGGGCUCCCGGCUACUGCCGCAGGCCGGAAUUGGUCAUACCUGACCCCACUUCCCUUUUUCCGCCCAUUGUGACUGACCCCAUUCAGCCUUGCCCCAUUUUGCCUGGCCCCAUUCUACCACAAGACGAGCCAGACAGCCAACAACUCUGUGUCGAGGGCCACCUCAGCGCAAAGCUGGACGCACCCACGGGCCAGGACAACUCAAAGGCUAAUGACUGAUGGAUUUGAAUAAAGCUUUUAUUCUGUCUGUGCGGAGAAACAACGGGCGGGCACCGGCCCGUCGCCUCUUUUUACAGUUCCUUUUACGUUGUUUUUGAUACUUGGAACUUUUUAUUUGGCUUUUCUUUUCAAGGUUAUUUUACUGUUGAAUGUAUGGAGACACGCGCCCUGUCCACCGUUCCUCCAGCGAGUGGUCUCCCCAGGACGGCUGCAGAGACCGUUUCUUCCUGCGGAUGUUACCGCCAAAUGGGUCACAGGUCUCCUGUGUACCUGAACCUGUUUUUAGUGGGAGCUUAGCCAAUGCAAGAUCUAAAUCUGAGGCUCACAGAUGCCCCCCCCCCCAAUACACCCACCUCCCCAAAGACUGGAUAUGAGGCGUGCCUCCGUGGAGAAAGCCGUACCUAGAAUACAGUCUGUCUGCAGGCGAAUCACCUGCGUGUUGUGUUUAGAACUGUUAAACAAUCAUUAAACGCGUUGAGUAAA